CGCAGCCUACCAUGCAGUCGAGCGGUAGAGAGAAGCUUGCUUCUCUUGAGAGCGGCGGACGGGUGAGUAAUGCCUAGGAAUCUGCCUGGUAGUGGGGGAUAACGUUCGGAAACGGACGCUAAUACCGCAUACGUCCUACGGGAGAAAGCAGGGGACCUUCGGGCCUUGCGCUAUCAGAUGAGCCUAGGUCGGAUUAGCUAGUUGGUGGGGUAAUGGCUCACCAAGGCGACGAUCCGUAACUGGUCUGAGAGGAUGAUCAGUCACACUGGAACUGAGACACGGUCCAGACUCCUACGGGAGGCAGCAGUGGGGAAUAUUGGACAAUGGGCGAAAGCCUGAUCCAGCCAUGCCGCGUGUGUGAAGAAGGUCUUCGGAUUGUAAAGCACUUUAAGUUGGGAGGAAGGGUUGUAGAUUAAUACUCUGCAAUUUUGACGUUACCGACAGAAUAACCACCGGCUAACUCUGUGCCAGCAGCCGCGGUAAUUCAUAA
This 490-nucleotide ribosomal RNA is filed under the name Pseudomonas fluorescens. RNAcentral describes it as "bacterial SSU rRNA". It matches the Rfam family "Bacterial small subunit ribosomal RNA", at positions 45 to 530 of the family's 1533-position model. The record is from RNAcentral. Lineage: Bacteria; Pseudomonadati; Pseudomonadota; Gammaproteobacteria; Pseudomonadales; Pseudomonadaceae.